This 264-nucleotide unclassified non-coding RNA is filed under the name uncultured fungus. RNAcentral describes it as "partial contains 5.8S ribosomal RNA, internal transcribed spacer 2, and large subunit ribosomal RNA". The stretch from base 1 to 52 matches the Rfam family "5.8S ribosomal RNA", at positions 103 to 154 of the family's 154-position model. Lineage: Eukaryota; Fungi. The record is from RNAcentral.
AACGCACCUUGCGCCUCUUGGUAUUCCGAGAGGCAUGCCUGUUUGAGUGUCAUGAAAUAUCAAUCCCCGGUGGUUUCUGACCGUCGGUGGACUUGGACUUGGGUGUCUGCCUCCCCUGGCUCACCUCAAAUGACUAAGUGGAUGUCCCUUGACCCAUGCUUGACGUAAUAAGUUUCGUCGUGGCUGGUCCCGUGGCGCCGCUCACAACCCACCAUAUCUUUUGACAUUGACCUCAAAUCAGGUAGGGCUACCCGCUGAACUUAA